RNAcentral lists this long non-coding RNA (4263 nucleotides) under Mytilus galloprovincialis (Mediterranean mussel). Lineage: Eukaryota; Metazoa; Mollusca; Bivalvia; Mytilida; Mytilidae. The record is from RNAcentral.
ACUCUAAUUGAUAUCUUUCAGCUACAACACCAGUACCGAUAACAGCGACAACGGGUAAUCAUCCAAUUAUUCAACAAUUUAGUUGCAUUACAAAAAUUAUAACUAUUUAAAAACUUAGUCACAAAACAAAAAAAUAUCUGCGACCUUUUUUAAACAGAUACCAAUACGAAAUGAUUUGUAUAUUCAGAUUUGAAAUAUUGGAAGUAGCAUCAGUUUGCUCUAACUGCUAAAAUAGAUUCUAUGAAAGGCUUUAUAUAUCAGCACGAGCCGAAUCAGAUUCACUGUUUUCAUUAUAUGUCAAUGUAUAUAUUUAAAGCACAUCACAGAUCUUUUUCAAUGAUGCGAAUUCGGAAAUGCAUAUCUUUUUUUAGGGAAAGGAGGAAACAGGCUUUUUAUUUAUUUAUUUAGCAAUCAAUAAUGUUUUAGUAUUUUCCCAAAACAAUUAAGGUUGUGCAAGCGUGUAUUGUAUGGUUUAGUAUUUGGUGAAGAUUCCAUUUUUUUUUUUGUUAAGAAUUCUUAUUGAUUUCAUGUACGUUUUUUAAAUACAGUAUUGGGUACAACAACACCGCUAGAGUGCAUUGAUCGUGAAACAAAGUGCAGUGAUACAUUUUAUCAGUCGAUCCUGUGUACAGCGACAGACCAGAAUUCCAAAGAUUAUGCCCUUAAAACAUGUCCAAAGGCUUGUAAUUUGUGCGAUAAGCUCCUUGGUACGUAUUAUAUCAAUAGUUAUUAAAAGCCGGAUAAAUGCAUUAUUCUAUCGGGCAACGUUUCGUUAAAUGUAACAAUUAGGGGUCUAUCAUUCAUUUAUUGUCAUUAGUUGCUGUCUGUCAUAUCUUUUAUUGUUUUAUUUUUUUUUAUCAUAAAUCAGGCAGUUAUUUUUUUUUAAAUUGUUCACAUUUUGUCAUGUCGGAUUUGUUUCAUAUGCCACAUCGCCUUAUUUUCAUAAAGCAGAAUACUUGUUAUAUUUUCCUGAUAUUUUAUCUUUUGAAGGAUCAAUAGGUUCAGCGUUUGGGUGAGUAAAAUAUGUUUGUUAGAAUUAUUAAGAUAAACAGAUAACUGUACACGUUUGCUGCUAAAUAGGUGCCGGUAUAGACGGCCAGUAAUUUGGAUAAAGAUUCUAUCAAUAUAUUCAUUAAACGGUUAUUAUCGAUGACUAUGGAGCCACUUUGUCUUCAUUUGUACAUUGAACAAUUACUUUGUUUUCAUGGUGCAUUUCGCAGUAUUCAUUAACUACAACUACAUUUGCAGACUUACAAGUGACAUUCAAUAACAAUACAAUUCGAUUAUUUUUAUGAAUCAAAAAUCAAAAAUAACAAGUUCAACUAAAGAUAGCCAGCAAUAUGAAAUCACAAAAGUGUCCAUGAUGAUUAACAAUGAUAUGUGUAAUACUUUUAUUUCUAAAUUCAAAAAUAUUAACAUAACAAAGUGAGUAAGGGGAAGCAGCUUUAUUUAUCUAAGUCUACUAAGAUUGAGGCGAAUUUAGGAAAAAAAGAGCUUCAUAAUAAAUUAAUUUUUUAUUUUAUUGUAAUCAGGGGUAGCACUGCUUGUACCAAGAUAACUGAUAUCAUCCCCGCUUUAAAACGUUUGUCCAUAACUGUUUUUAUCGAUCAUCUUUGCACAUUCUUGUGUUUGUCUUAUAACUGUUUAAGUUUCAUCAGUAUCUAUUUAGUCAAUUGUGAUGAGUUUUGUUAGAAAGCACACGAAAAAGACAGUCAAAAUUGUGUCUGUGGUUAUAAUAAAACUAACCACUUUUCAAAUGACCAUAUUGUUAAUUAUCAUUCACAUGCGUGCAGGAAUAUUCUGCCUAGUUCUUAAAAAGCGACACUUUUUUCAAUGGACAUUGUUUUAAUUAAUUUGCAUUGGAAGUAAAUAUAAAUCAAUUAAUGACUUUUUAACAGCGGUAUACUACUGUUGUCUUUAUUCAAAUACACCCCUCCCCUCCAAAAAAAAAAUGGACCACAAAACAAAAUAUCGGUAAUGAUUUUCAUUUAUUUUUUUACAUUUCAAGACUGAGAAUUACAGUCUCAUGACACGUUUAUUGUUGCCAUUACUGGAUUAAAACGACAGCGUUAAACUUGUAUUCCAUUGUAAUCAAACUAAUCAAAUAUGAGAUCGAAAGACAAUGUUACGUCUGGUAAAAAAAGACUUAAAAUUAUGCAAGCCUUUAACUGAAAUAUAAGAAUGAUAAUUUCAAUACAACGUUUGGAAUACCAGACAUUUUCAAUACCGUUACAUAAAUUUAAAACAACCGUUUUAAAACAACAAUAACAUCGUAAUUUGGUUUCAUUCUAUUUUCAUUUCAUUGUUAUAAAUCUUUUUCGGUUAUUAACAUUUUAUUUUUCGGAGACAAAGAUGAAGGUCCUCAAAAUCCUGUUUACUCCCAAGGGUUAAGGUUCAUCAUAAGGAAUUGAAAAAUAUGGCCGUAUUUACACCUCCAAAAUUACUAUGAGUACAGACAAACUGGUACAUCCAGGAAAGUUUUAAGGCAUGGCAGGAACUAGAUAUAUAAAAGUUAUAAAGUCUACGUUUCAGAAAAUUAAAAACUUACCUGGAUUUUGAUGUUCAUUUUUUCCAGUUCUGCAGAAGGUAGCAAAAUAAACAAACCCCGAGUUUCAUUGAUACGGUCACUCAGUUACAGCACAGUUUAAACCUGUUAAAUCACCUAUUGUUUACAGGUGUCUAUUGUCCAUCUAUUGUCCAUUUAAAUCAAUACUACUCACAACAUGAUAUAGAGGGAGCCUUCCAUCGUUUCACUACUUAGUAAUUUUGCACCUUCUGCAGGAACGAAAAAAAAUGGAUAGCAAAAUCUAGAAAAGUUUAUAAUUUUCUGAAACAUGAAAUGAAUUUAAAAUUUAUAUAUCUAGUUCCUGCCAUCCCUUAAAACUGUUGCGGGUGUAUAGGUUAGUCUGUACUCAGAGUAAAAUUUGGGGUGUAAAUACGGCCAUUUUAGCCAAAAGGUUAUGAUGAACCUUAAAGUGAAUAUUCUAUAUAGAAAUAAGAAUUUCGGCAUGAAUGCUAAUGAGACAACUCUCUAUCCAAGUCACAAUGUGCAAAAAGUAAACAAUCGUAGGUCAAAGUACGACCUUUAACACGGAGCCUUGGCUCACACUAAACACCAAGCUAUAAAGGGCCCUAAAAUGACUAGUGUAAAAAUAUUCAAACAGAAAAACCAGCGGUCUAAUCAAUACGAUACGAGAAAACAAAAGAAAAGCACUUUUGAGUACUAGCGUUGUUCAUCAUCCCAAUAACGUGUUAAAGAGUUCUUUCAUUUGUCUGAAAAUUAUUACUUUUACUGUUCAGUCUAUUUUUUGGUAAUAUUUAUUUCAUGUGACUCGGUACUUAUAAAUCCCGUAAUUGUAUUAUAUAAAUUUUGUAAAUGUGUGUGUUCUUGUCUUUCGUUUUGCUAAUGUGCUUUGUCUAUAUCAUUUUUUCUCUUUUUGUAGUUGACAUAUAUAUGUUGUUAAUUAAGAUUAUAAAAAAUGUUGACUGUUGCACCCCUAUUUUUGCCAUUUUUACCUAUCAUGUCUGUUUUUUUAAGUUCACAAAUUGUUGUCUAUAUAAUUGAAUUUUGUAGACAGUGAGAGGUUAAGCUAGCUAUAAACCCAGGUUUAAUCCACCAUUUUCUACAUCAGAAAAUGUCUGAAACUAGUCAGUAAUAUAACAGCUGUUAUUCAUUUGUUUGAUGUGUUUAAUUUUUCUGACAUUGUCAUUUGAUUAGGGACUUUCCGUUUGAAAUUGACCUCGGAGUUCGGUUUUAUUAUUAUUUUACUUUUUAUGAAUCACAUAAACAAACGAAAACAUAUGAACAUCCGAUUUCUGACUUAAGACAGGUGCAUACAAAUGUAGGGGACUUAAACAGGCGCCAACCUUCACAUUUUCCUGAAACAGAAGUUUAACAUUACAACAAAAAAGGACACACAACAAAAUAUCAAUUGAAACUGCAUAACUCGAUCAAAGAGACAUCAAUAAAACAUGUAAACUAACACUGAACUGAAUGAGUAGAUUUGAUAUAUGACACAAUAUAAAUACAAUUUAAAUUUAAAAAAAAAAAAGAAGAUGCCAAACAAUACUAUAAAGUCAACUGUAACCUAUAACAAAAUGAUGUCCCUAUUAUCUUGUAUUGAAUAUGUUGAUAUUUAAGAUUUUGUCAUACUUGGUUACAAUACACGUCUUUUUCUAUUUAUAGCUUACAUAUUUUUUUUCUUUUUCAGGCGUUAAUGUACGGGAGAGAUACUUGUAUACUUUUUGUGUGAUGAAUAAAUG